GAGUUUGAUCCUGGCUCAGGACGAACGCUGGCGGCGUGCCUAAUACAUGCAAGUCGAGCGAAUCAAUAGGAGCUUGCUCCUGUUGAUUAGCGGCGGACGGGUGAGUAACACGUGGGCAACCUGCCUGUAAGACUGGGAUAACACCGGGAAACCGGUGCUAAUACCGGAUAAUCCAUUCCCUCUCAUGAGGGAAUGCUGAAAGACGGUUUCGGCUGUCACUUACAGAUGGGCCCGCGGCGCAUUAGCUAGUUGGUGAGGUAACGGCUCACCAAGGCGACGAUGCGUAGCCGACCUGAGAGGGUGAUCGGCCACACUGGGACUGAGACACGGCCCAGACUCCUACGGGAGGCAGCAGUAGGGAAUCUUCCGCAAUGGACGAAAGUCUGACGGAGCAACGCCGCGUGAGCGAUGAAGGCCUUCGGGUCGUAAAGCUCUGUUGUUAGGGAAGAACAAGUAUCGGAGUAACUGCCGGUACCUUGACGGUACCUAACCAGAAAGCCACGGCUAACUACGUGCCAGCAGCCGCGGUAAUACAGAGGGUGCGAGCGUUGUUCGGAAUUAUUGGGCGUAAAGCGCGUGUAGGCGGCGGAGCAUGUCGGGUGUGAAAGCCCUCGGCUUAACCGAGGAAGUGCGCCCGAAACUGCUUUGCUAGAGUGCUGGAGAGGGUAGCGGAAUUCCCGGUGUAGAGGUGAAAUUCGUAGAUAUCGGGAGGAACACCAGUGGCGAAGGCGACUCGCUGGGCCGGUCCUGACGCUCAGGCGCGAAAGCGUGGGGAGCGAUCCGGAUUAGAUACCCGGGUAGUCCACGCCGUAAACGAUGGGUGCUAGGUGUCGGGGGUAUCGACCCCCCCGGUGCCGUCGCUAACGCACUAAGCACCCCGCCUGGGGACUACGGCCGCAAGGCUAAAACUCAAAGGAAUUGACGG
Molecule: ribosomal RNA, 925 nt
Filed under: uncultured bacterium
Lineage: Bacteria
Description: bacterial SSU rRNA
Rfam family: Bacterial small subunit ribosomal RNA
Source: RNAcentral